CCUACGUGUGGCAGCAGUGAGGAAUAUUGGUCAAUGUGCGCGAGCCUGAACCAGCCAAGUAGCGUGAAGGAUGACUGCCCUGCGGGUUGUAAACUUCUUUUAUAAAGGAAUAAAGUGAGGCACGUGUGCCUUUUUGUGUGUACUUUAUGAAUAAGGAUCGGCUAACUCCGUGCCAGCAGCCGCGGUAAUACGGGGGAUACGAGCGUUAUCCGGAUUUAGUGGGUUUAAAGGGAGCGUAGAUGGGUUGUUAAGUCAGUUGUGAAAUUUUGCGGCACAACCGUAAAAUUGCAAUUGAUCCUGGCAGUCUUGAGUACAGGUGAGGUAGGCGGAAUGCGUGGUGUAGCGGUGAAAUGCUUAGAUAUCACGAAGAACUCCGAUUGCGAAGGCAGCUUACUAAACUGCCACUGACAUUGAUGCUCGAAAGUGUGGGUAUCAAACAGGAUUAGAUACCCUUGUAGUC
This 460-nucleotide ribosomal RNA is filed under the name uncultured bacterium. Its description in RNAcentral is "partial 16S ribosomal RNA". It matches the Rfam family "Bacterial small subunit ribosomal RNA", at positions 338 to 795 of the family's 1533-position model. The record is from RNAcentral.